Long non-coding RNA from Gallus gallus (chicken), 823 nucleotides. RefSeq lists it as uncharacterized. The transcript is spliced from 3 exons. The record is from RefSeq and is a predicted model, not a curated record. Lineage: Eukaryota; Metazoa; Chordata; Aves; Galliformes; Phasianidae.
UAAACACUGGACAGGUGGGCUUGGAGAAUCUGCUUGCUGUCCUCUCUGCACUGCUGGUGUGGUACUUCUCUCUUUCUCUGGCUCUCAUGAGAUGUGAACAGAAAGAAGAUCAAUGACUAAGAGCUGCAGCUGUGUAUGCGAUACCUUCCAGAUGACUCAUCCUUUUUUUGACUGAAAAAUGAAGUUCUGGCAGCAAAUUGUCACUUGAUGAUGUCUAACCUGCCGCUGACAUCUGCUGUAGACAGGACAAGCCUCAAACUCUUUAAAAGAGAUUGCAGUUACGAUACAUGAAAUGGGUCAGUGGGGUAACACCAUCACUGAAGAGGAUUUCUUUUCACUUACCUUUUUGCUUUUGCUGCAAAAAGUCUGUGAUGAAGUGAAACUUGCAGGAAUUUGAGAUUCUCACCAAUAAUGUUUCAAAUGAGGUAAGAAGCGUUAACAUUGGUGCAGCAAGUACCUGCUUGCUUCGAAAAGGCAUUGUUUGUUAUGAUGUAGCUAUGUAUGGAUUUCACUCCUAGACUUGCACGUGGUCACCUUUACAAAAUAUCUGUCAAGACCCAGGAUAAUGCACUGCAUACUGUCUGCCUUGACUAGAGAGGCAAGAGCCUAGGAGACUAUCUUCAGAAUUUGCAUAAAGUGAGACGGCAUUCAUCCGUUGUAAUGAAGGCUGUAAUAAAUGAUCCUCCAAUCAGAGUUGUCCAACGUCUAUAUUCCAGAGUAGUCAACACAUGAAUCUGUGUUACCUUAGUAGAAUGAAAGAUUUAUGUACUCCCUUAAUUAUUUUUGAUAUCUCAUGAAAACGGGCAAUGAUGUAAUUCCCCAU